RNAcentral lists this ribosomal RNA (223 nucleotides) under Versteria mustelae. Its description in RNAcentral is "partial 12S ribosomal RNA". Lineage: Eukaryota; Metazoa; Platyhelminthes; Cestoda; Cyclophyllidea; Taeniidae. The record is from RNAcentral.
UGUUGUGAUGGAUGUUCCGCCCAAUAAUUUACUUUUAUUAUGUUGGUGUAUAUCUGGUUUAAUAUUAUUGUUUAGUGAUGUAGUUUGUGUAGAGUUAGUUAAGCCAAGUCAAUGUGCUGCUUAUAAAAGUUUUCAUGCGUUACAUUUAUAAUAUAUUCAUUGUAAUUGUGAAUAAAUUUAGGACUUAAUAGUAAUAUUUAAUUAGUUUGUUGAUGUGAAAUAA